AGAGAACUUAGCAGAGAUGCUUUGGUGCCUUCGGGAACUCUGAGACAGGUGCUGCAUGGCUGUCGUCAGCUCGUGUUGUGAAAGUGUUGGGUUAAGUCCCGCAACGAGCGCAACCCUUAUCCUUUGUUGCCAGCGGCUCGGCCGGGAACUCAAAGGAGACUGCCGGUGAUAAACCGGAGGAAGGUGGGGAUGACGUCAAGUCAUCAUGGCCCUUACGGCCAGGGCUACACACGUGCUACAAUGGCGCAUACAAAGAGAAGCGACCUCGCGAGAGCAAGCGGACCUCAUAAAGUGCGUCGUAGUCCGGAUUGGAGUCUGCAACUCGACUCCAUGAAGUCGGAAUCGCUAGUAAUCGUAGAUCAGAAUGCUACGGUGAAUACGUUCCCGGGCCUUGUACACACCGCCCGUCACACCAUGGGAGUGGGUUGCAAAAGAAGUAGGUAGCUUAACCUUCGGGAGGGCGCUUACCACUUUGUGAUUCAUGACUGGGGUGAAGUCGUAACAAGGUAAGCGUAGCGAG
This 520-nucleotide ribosomal RNA is filed under the name uncultured bacterium. RNAcentral's name for it is "bacterial SSU rRNA". It matches the Rfam family "Bacterial small subunit ribosomal RNA", at positions 990 to 1509 of the family's 1533-position model. The record is from RNAcentral.